UCACUUACUUGUUGGCAGCCGUUGAAUACGCAGUAGUGCUUACCGAACAUCUGAAUGAAUUCUACCUCAGCCAGAGGAAUUUCAGCAAGGCACUGUAUACAAUCUGGGAAUAUGUGCUUAUCUAUGCGUUCAGACUCACCUGCAUUGAUGCAGUCAGGUGCAAUCGGAUUUCUCAGGAUUCAAAGAUCAGAUGAUUGGCUAUAACAUCUCUGAUUCAUUUCUGGUGCCCGUCCACCUGGACCCGCCACUUUCUGUGUGAAGAACUGAAAAGCUCCGUCAUCUUUGUCAGUCCUAUCCUUAACUUGCUUCUGAAAAGAUAUCACUGAAAUGAUUGUGUUUUUUCCUUUGCUUUGCAAUUCAGUUACAUGGGGUUACCAGUUUGGUACCCCAGCUCUUUAUCAUUGUCCUGUUGUUUCUCUUACGAUACCAAAAUACCAGGUCCCAAUAUAAAAACCAAAAGAAUAAAGCCAAAAAACACAAAAUGCUCUGAUUCCCUAAAAUGAUUCUGAUGCUAAAUAAUAAAAGAUUUCUUUUGA
Molecule: long non-coding RNA, 536 nt
Organism: Polypterus senegalus (gray bichir)
Lineage: Eukaryota; Metazoa; Chordata; Cladistia; Polypteriformes; Polypteridae
Exons: 3
Source: RefSeq, a predicted model, not a curated record